This 40-nucleotide ribosomal RNA is filed under the name Minthostachys mollis. RNAcentral describes it as "partial 28S ribosomal RNA". RNAcentral also lists the same sequence under 1 other name. Lineage: Eukaryota; Viridiplantae; Streptophyta; Magnoliopsida; Lamiales; Lamiaceae. The record is from RNAcentral.
CGACCGCGACCCCAGGUCAKGCGGGAUUACCCGCUGAGUU